Molecule: long non-coding RNA, 969 nt
Organism: Salvia miltiorrhiza (redroot sage)
Lineage: Eukaryota; Viridiplantae; Streptophyta; Magnoliopsida; Lamiales; Lamiaceae
Exons: 2
Source: RefSeq, a predicted model, not a curated record
GCUGCAAGAAUUCAAGAGGUAAAGCUUUUUCCCCCUCAAUUCAUUUCUCCCAUCAAUUAUGUAAUCACCAUUUCCUCUACAUUCUUUACAGAACCAAAGCUAGCAACAUUGCAAACAAAUCCUAGAUAAUUCUUAAAAGGUUCUACCUUUUAAUUUCCCUACUUAAUUCAUCUAUGCUUAACAUCACAAUAUGAGUAAAACCAACAUCAAUGCAUAAACUGAUAUGCUAGAUACUACAAUGAGGUGUUCUUGCUACAUAUGUUGAUAUAGAAAAAAAUAUCUAAAUGAAAUAGAAAAGAAGAGGAAUUUAUGAACUAGAAAAUGUGAAUAGGAACUUGCUGCAUUUUUGUUGCGUUGUGUAUGAGUCGGGUCGAGUCAGGGUGGCAACGGUGGUGGCUUUUAGCUGCUGUUGUCUGCCGGAGUCACGGAGGGAGGAAAGGAGCCGGUGAGGGCGGUGGCUCGGUGCCACUGUUGCUACCGGCCGAAAUGCGUAGAGAGAGAGAGGAGGCGGAGAAAGCUGUUGCUGCUGUCGUCCGACAGAUAUAGAUAAAGAGAGAGGGUGAAGACGGUGGUCUUCGCCGUCUGGAGGCGGCGCUUGGCGCAGUCGCCGGAGAACCGAGGCUAGAGGUGGUAGAUUUUGGGGAUCUAGGGUUUCAGUGUGAUUCAGAGAGAGAGGAAGGUUAGGAGAAAGGGGGAGGCGAUUGGCGACUUUGGGCGUAAGGUGGUGGUUGGCUUUGCUAGCCGCUGCGGCCGCCGGAUUUCAGCGGGAGGCGGAGGCUGGAGGUGGUGCGUCGUGUGUGGGAUUUCUCGGGUGCGUGUGUAUGAUGCGUGUGAGAGGCGAGAGAGAGGAAGAUCGGAGAGAGAGGACGAGGGAGAAGGGAGUCAAGGGGGGAGGCGGCGGCAGAAAGGGGAGCCGGUGGAGGGAGGGUGUGUCUGGCAUGUGUGGUGUCUGUGUCGUGUGUGUGUUCU